GACGAAGGGGGCUAGCGUUGCUCGGAAUCACUGGGCGUAAAGGGCGCGUAGGCGGACUCUUAAGUCGGGGGUGAAAGCCCAGGGCUCAACCCUGGAAUUGCCUUCGAUACUGAGAGUCUUGAGUUCGGAAGAGGUUGGUGGAACUGCGAGUGUAGAGGUGAAAUUCGUAGAUAUUCGCAAGAACACCAGUGGCGAAGGCGGCCAACUGGUCCGAUACUGACGCUGAGGCGCGAAAGCGUGGGGAGCAAACAGG
This 253-nucleotide ribosomal RNA is filed under the name uncultured bacterium. RNAcentral describes it as "partial 16S ribosomal RNA". It matches the Rfam family "Bacterial small subunit ribosomal RNA", at positions 524 to 776 of the family's 1533-position model. The record is from RNAcentral.